RNAcentral lists this ribosomal RNA (1249 nucleotides) under metagenome. Its description in RNAcentral is "bacterial SSU rRNA". It matches the Rfam family "Bacterial small subunit ribosomal RNA", at positions 75 to 1344 of the family's 1533-position model. The record is from RNAcentral.
CGCUUUAAUUGUCAGCUAAGUGGCGCACGGGUGAGUAAUAUAUAGGUAACGUGCCCUAGAGAGGGGGAUAACAGAUGGAAACGUCUGCUAACGCCCCAUAUGCCUUUAUCACAAAAGUGAGCAAGGGAAAUAUUUAUAGCUCUAGGAUCGGGCUGUACGGUAUCAGCUAGUUGGUGAGGUAAUGGCUCACCAAGGCAAUGACACCUAACUGGUUUGAGAGGAUGAUCAGUCACACUGGAACUGAGACACGGUCCAGACUCCUACGGGAGGCAGCAGUGGGGAAUAUUGCACAAUGGACGAAAGUCUGAUGCAGCAACGCCGCGUGGAGGAUGACACAUUUCGGUGCGUAAACUCCUUUUAUAUAGGAAGAUAAUGACGGUACUAUAUGAAUAAGCACCGGCUAACUCCGUGCCAGCAGCCGCGGUAAUACGGAGGGUGCAAGCGUUACUCGGAAUUACUGGGCGUAAAGAGCGUGUAGGCGGGUAAAUAAGUUGGAAGUGAAAUCCUAUGGCUCAACCAUAGAACUGCUUCCAAAACUGUUAACCUAGAAUGUGGGAGAGGUAGAUGGAAUUUCUGGUGUAGGGGUAAAAUCCGUAGAUAUCAGAAGGAAUACCGAUUGCGAAGGCGAUCUACUGGAACAUAAUUGACGCUGAGACGCGAAAGCGUGGGGAGCAAACAGGAUUAGAUACCCUGGUAGUCCACGCCCUAAACGAUGUACACUAGUUGUUGUGAGGCUAGACCUUGCAGUAGUGCAGUUAACACAUUAAGUGUACCGCCUGGGGAGUACGGUCGCAGGAUUAAAACUCAAAGGAAUAGACGGGGACCCGCACACGCGGUGGAGCAUGUGGUUUAAUUCGACUAUACGCGAAGAACCUUACCUGGUCUUGACAUAGAAAGAACUUUCCAGAGAUGGAUUGGUGCCUGCUUGCAGGAGCUUUCAUACAGGUGCUGCACGGCUGUCGUCAGCUCGUGUCGUGAGAUGUUGGGUUAAGUCCCGCAACGAGCGCAACCCUCGUCGUUAGUUGCUAACAGUUCGGCUGAGAACUCUAACGAGACUGCCUACGCAAGUAGGAGGAAGGUGAGGACGACGUCAAGUCAUCAUGGCCCUUACGACCAGGGCUACACACGUGCUACAAUGGGGUAUACAAAGAGCAGCGAUACGGUGACGUGGAGCGAAUCUCAAAAAUGCCUCCCAGUUCGGAUAGUAGUCUGCAACUCGACUACUUGAAGUUGGAAACGCUAGUAAUCG